UACGUAGGGUGCAAGCGUUAAUCGGAAUUACUGGGCGUAAAGCGUGCGCAGGCGGUUGUGCAAGACAGAUGUGAAAUCCCCGGGCUUAACCUGGGAAUUGCAUUUGUGACUGCACGGCUAGAGUGUGUCAGAGGGGGGUAGAAUUCCACGUGUAGCAGUGAAAUGCGUAGAUAUGCGGAGGAACACCGAUGGCGAAGGCAAUCCCCUGGGCCUGCACUGACGCUCAUGCACGAAAGCGUGGGGAGCAAACAGG
Molecule: ribosomal RNA, 253 nt
Filed under: uncultured bacterium
Lineage: Bacteria
Description: partial 16S ribosomal RNA
Rfam family: Bacterial small subunit ribosomal RNA
Source: RNAcentral